GCGAACAAUUGACAUAUAAUAUACAAUAC
Molecule: non-coding RNA, 29 nt
Filed under: Bombyx mori (domestic silkworm)
Lineage: Eukaryota; Metazoa; Arthropoda; Insecta; Lepidoptera; Bombycidae
Source: RNAcentral